GACGAACGCUGGCGGCGUGCUUAACACAUGCAAGUCGAACGGAAAGGCCCUGCUUUUGUGGGGUGCUCGAGUGGCGAACGGGUGAGUAACACGUGAGUAACCUGCCCUUGACUUUGGGAUAACUUCAGGAAACUGGGGCUAAUACCGGAUAGGAGCUCCUGCUGCAUGGUGGGGGUUGGAAAGUUUCGGCGGUUGGGGAUGGACUCGCGGCUUAUCAGCUUGUUGGUGGGGUAGUGGCUUACCAAGGCUUUGACGGGUAGCCGGCCUGAGAGGGUGACCGGCCACAUUGGGACUGAGAUACGGCCCAGACUCCUACGGGGGGCAGCAGUGGGGAAUAUUGCACAAUGGGCGGAAGCCUGAUGCAGCAACGCCGCGUGCGGGAUGACGGCCUUCGGGUUGUAAACCGCUUUCGCCUGUGACGAAGCGUGAGUGACGGUAAUGGGUAAUGAAGCACCGGCUAACUACGUGCCAGCAGCCGCGGUGAUACGUAGGGUGCGAGCGUUGUCCGGAUUUAUUGGGCGUAAAGGGCUCGUAGGUGGUUGAUCGCGUCGGAAGUGUAAUCUUGGGGCUUAACCCUGAGCGUGCUUUCGAUACGGGUUGACUUGAGGAAGGUAGGGGAGAAUGGAAUUCCUGGUGGAGCGGUGGAAUGCGCAGAUAUCAGGAGGAACACCAGUGGCGAAGGCGGUUCUCUGGGCCUUUCCUGACGCUGAGGAGCGAAAGCGUGGGGAGCGAACAGGCUUAGAUACCCUGGUAGUCCACGCUGUAAACGGUGGGUACUAGGUGUGGGGUCCAUUCCACGGGUUCCGUGCCGUAGCUAACGCUUUAAGUACCCCGCCUGGGGAGUACGGCCGCAAGGCUAAAACUCAAAGGAAUUGACGGGGCCCCGCACAAGCGGCGGAGCAUGCGGAUUAAUUCGAUGCAACGCGUAGAACCUUACCUGGGUUUGACAUGGAUCGGGAGUGCUCAGAGAUGGGUGUGCCUCUUUUGGGGUCGGUUCACAGGUGGUGCAUGGCUGUCGUCAGCUCGUGUCGUGAGAUGUUGGGUUAAGUCCCGCAACGAGCGCAACCCUUGUUCACUGUUGCCAGCACGUUAUGGUGGGGACUCAGUGGAGACCGCCGGGGUCAACUCGGAGGAAGGUGGGGAUGACGUCAAGUCAUCAUGCCCCUUAUGUCCAGGGCUUCACGCAUGCUACAAUGGCUGGUACAGAGAGUGGCGAGCCUGUGAGGGUGAGCGAAUCUCGGAAAGCCGGUCUCAGUUCGGAUUGGGGUCUGCAACUCGACCUCAUGAAGUCGGAGUCGCUAGUAAUCGCAGAUCAGCAACGCUGCGGUGAAUACGUUCCCGGGGCU
Molecule: ribosomal RNA, 1346 nt
Filed under: uncultured bacterium
Lineage: Bacteria
Description: partial 16S ribosomal RNA
Rfam family: Bacterial small subunit ribosomal RNA
Source: RNAcentral